AAUAAAAAAACGAAUUAUAAGCUGUAAAAAUUUACAAAAACCCUGAAAGCUUGUCUUGUAUCAGAUCUAUCAUACAGUUUUACUUGCAAUCAAGCUGACCAGAGCACAUAUUAGAGUGUGUAGAAUUUUCAGUACCUAUAUCUAUUAAUCAUUGUAGCCAGUGUGUUUUAAGCGCAUGUUGGGCCAGUUUUUCACUCUAAGAGCCUUGUAUUCAUGAAAUUUAGUCAAGAGAUGAAAGCACACUAUUUUACUUAAAUUGUUGCUUGCUUGGUUUUGCAUCUAGGAAGUACUUGUUUUUUUUUUUUUUUUUGGAUAGCCUAAUUAAAGUUUAAGAUUUCUUUUAAGCAAGAAUAAAGAAAUACUUGUAGUUAAAAGACUGAUGCUUUUAUGCAAUGAGUUCUAGCUCAAACGUCAUCUUCUUUUUCCAUAAUACAACAAGGUACAGCUUUCUAUAAGUAACGAGGUAGAGGGUAUAGUCAUGAGUUCAAAACUCAGUUGUGAAUUCGGAAGAAGAGUUUGCAUCACUUUGUUGAACGCAUUCAGUACUACACAUCAUCGUUUCAUAUGGGGUCUGGUACAUUAUGUCUCAUUUGGACAAGUUGGGAGUUAACUUGAGUAGUUUGUGCUUUCCUUUAAAAAUCCAUGACCUGCAUUGACAUUCUUGUACUUGUUUUCAGGUAUCUCACUUACAAUGGAUCAGUGGAAUGUACUCCGGGAUCAUGUUGAAGUAAUUGAGAAGGCGGUUAAUGAGAAGUAAUUGAGAAGGCGGUUAAUGAGAACUCUUAGGGCUUUUUGUUGUUGAUAUUACUAGAGAAAAUAUUAGCCUGUAGGCGUCUUCUUUUGUUGGUGGUGACCAGAAACUUGGAUCAAGCAGUGAUGUUUUGUGUUCUACCUAGAGAUGAUAACUGGGUUGACGUUACUGACUUUGUGAUUGGAGAUAUGGAAGUGAACCCCUGACUAAUGUUUGUAAUUACUUAAAUAUUUUAAACAAUAGUUCUUCUAUGUUUCAA
Non-coding RNA from Corylus avellana, 1010 nucleotides. NCBI's taxonomy places the organism in Eukaryota, Viridiplantae, Streptophyta, Magnoliopsida, Fagales, Betulaceae. The record is from RefSeq and is a predicted model, not a curated record.